GGCGUGAGGCGUGAUGACGAGGCACUACGGUGCUGAAGCAACAAAUGCCCUGCUUCCAGGAAAAGCCUCUAAGCAUCAGGUAACAUCAAAUCGUACCCCAAACCGACACAGGUGGUCAGGUAGAGAAUACCAAGGCGCUUGAGAGAACUCGGGUGAAGGAACUAGGCAAAAUGGUGCCGUAACUUCGGGAGAAGGCACGCUGAUAUGUAGGUGAAGCGACUUGCUCGUGGAGCUGAAAUCAGUCGAAGAUACCAGCUGGCUGCAACUGUUUAUUAAAAACACAGCACUGUGCAAACACGAAAGUGGACGUAUACGGUGUGACGCCUGCCCGGUGCCGGAAGGUUAAUUGAUGGGGUCAGCGCAAGCGAAGCUCUUGAUCGAAGCCCCGGUAAACGGCGGCCGUAACUAUAACGGUCCUAAGGUAGCGAAAUUCCUUGUCGGGUAAGUUCCGACCUGCACGAAUGGCGUAAUGAUGGCCAGGCUGUCUCCACCCGAGACUCAGUGAAAUUGAACUCGCUGUGAAGAUGCAGUGUACCCGCGGCAAGACGGAAAGACCCCGUGAACCUUUACUAUAGCUUGACACUGAACAUUGAGCCUUGAUGUGUAGGAUAGGUGGGAGGCUUWGAAGUGUGGACGCCAGUCUGCAUGGAGCCGACCUUGAAAUACCACCCUUUAAUGUUUGAUGUUCUAACGUUGACCCGUAAUCCGGGUUGCGGACAGUGUCUGGUGGGUAGUUUGACUGGGGCGGUCUCCUCCUAAAGAGUAACGGAGGAGCACGAAGGUUGGCUAAUCCUGGUCGGACAUCAGGAGGUUAGUGCAAUGGCAUAAGCCAGCUUGACUGCGAGCGUGACGGCGCGAGCAGGUGCGAAAGCAGGUCAUAGUGAUCCGGUGGUUCUGAAUGGAAGGGCCAUCGCUCAACGGAUAAAAGGUACUCCGGGGAUAACAGGCUGAUACCGCCCAAGAGUUCAUAUCGACGGCGGUGUUUGGCACCUCGAUGUCGGCUCAUCACAUCCUGGGGCUGAAGUAGGUCCCAAGGGUAUGGCUGUUCGCCAUUUAAAGUGGUACGCGAGCUGGGUUUAGAACGUCGUGAGACAGUUCGGUCCCUAUCUGCCGUGGGCGCUGGAGAACUGAGGGGGGCUGCUCCUAGUACGAGAGGACCGGAGUGGACGCAUCACUGGUGUUCGGGUUGUCAUGCCAAUGGCACUGCCCGGUAGCUAAAUGCGGAAGAGAUAAGUGCUGAAAGCAUCUAAGCACGAAACUUGCCCCGAGAUGAGUUCUCCCUGACCCUUUAAGGGUCCUGAAGGAACGUUGAAGACGACGACGUUGAUAGGCCGGGUGUGUAAGCGCAGCGAUGCGUUGAGCUAACCGGUACUAAUGAACCGUGAGGCUUAACCUU
RNAcentral lists this ribosomal RNA (1396 nucleotides) under Escherichia coli. Its description in RNAcentral is "bacterial LSU rRNA". The record is from RNAcentral. Lineage: Bacteria; Pseudomonadati; Pseudomonadota; Gammaproteobacteria; Enterobacterales; Enterobacteriaceae.